ACAUCUCCUUAUUAAUUGCUGAGAACCCACGAAGGUAAGCCCAGAGCCUUUCAAUAGCCUCACCAUCUGUCCAAUGUACUCUG
Xenia sp. Carnegie-2017 is the source of this 83-nucleotide long non-coding RNA. RefSeq lists it as uncharacterized. NCBI's taxonomy places the organism in Eukaryota, Metazoa, Cnidaria, Anthozoa, Malacalcyonacea, Xeniidae. The transcript is spliced from 3 exons. The record is from RefSeq and is a predicted model, not a curated record.